Cebus imitator (Panamanian white-faced capuchin) is the source of this 414-nucleotide long non-coding RNA. RefSeq lists it as uncharacterized. The record is from RefSeq and is a predicted model, not a curated record. The transcript is spliced from 4 exons. Lineage: Eukaryota; Metazoa; Chordata; Mammalia; Primates; Cebidae.
GAAUUCCGGAUUCUGUGUCUCUGCUCCGUGAAUUCAUUAAAGAUCCCUUGACAGUGUUCGGAGAGUGGGAGUUUGCCCUUUUGUCCUUGAACCGGCUUCACCUGAGAGCUCAGCUCUUUCCUGUGAAUUGAAAAUGGCAAUUCUUUAUUCAGUGCACUGCAAAUGACUAGCAAUCUAUUGCAGGAGAAGAUUUUCAAUCUGUCUGCAACUAGCUGCCAAAACUUUUGGAUGAAUAGGGAAGAAUGCAGUCAAUCACCCAGAUGUUCCUUCCGCAGGAGGCCAUGCACCCAGCUAUUUGGAAACAAUCAGGUGCCUGGAACAUGAAGACAGCACAUCUGGAAUAACCAAGGAAGGAACAUUUUGGCUUAAUAUGAUGAAGAUCUGCAUAAUUGAAGCUAUCCAAGAAUGGUGGAA